CUGGGUGUGGCGCAGUUUGGUAGCGCGCUAGACUGGGGGUCUAGAGGCCGCAAGUUCAAGUCUUGUCACUCAGACCA
RNAcentral lists this transfer RNA (77 nucleotides) under Clostridia bacterium. RNAcentral describes it as "tRNA-Pro". It matches the Rfam family "tRNA". From Rfam's summary of the family: Transfer RNA (tRNA) molecules are approximately 80 nucleotides in length. The record is from RNAcentral. Lineage: Bacteria; Bacillati; Bacillota; Clostridia.